CCCAGUCCCGAAGCGCUGCAGACGGCGGAACUAAGACGCGGGUGAUGCCACAGUCUCGUCUUUGGGAAAGCAUGUUCCUAGUACUUGAGGUGAACUUGGAAGGAGUCGCGUAAGGGAGUGGGGCGAACAACCCCAAAAGGCUCAAGGCCAUGUCCCCUGGCUAAAUUAUCCGUGAACUCUUACAAGCUCACCCUAAUACUCGGUAGCUUGGGCUGCACAAGAAGAAUACACACUUGGGUCCAGUGGAGAUGAAUUGGCUACUUUACGGCGGUCACACAUUCAUGCAAUCUGCAUUAUCCUGCACUCCUCCGUUCUAUCUCAACCC
Molecule: long non-coding RNA, 325 nt
Organism: Vombatus ursinus (common wombat)
Lineage: Eukaryota; Metazoa; Chordata; Mammalia; Diprotodontia; Vombatidae
Source: Ensembl